This 1353-nucleotide long non-coding RNA is filed under the name Mytilus galloprovincialis (Mediterranean mussel). The record is from RNAcentral. Lineage: Eukaryota; Metazoa; Mollusca; Bivalvia; Mytilida; Mytilidae.
UCGCCUUUUUAGCUCACCUGGCCCGAAGGGCCAAGUGAGCUUUUCUCAUCACUUGGCGUCCGUCGUCCGUCGUCCGUCGUCCGUCGUCUGUCGUCCGUCGUCCGUCGUCCGUCGUCUGUCGUCGUCCGUCGUCCGGCGUCGUUAACUUUUACAAAAAUCUUCUCCUCUGAAACUACUGGGCCAAAUUUAACCAAACUUGGCCAUAAUCAUCAUUGGGGUAUCUAGUUUAAAAAAUGUGUCCGUUGACCCGGCCAACCAACCAAGAUGGCCGCCAUGGCUAAAAAUAGAACAUAGGGGUAAAAUGCAGUUUUUGGCUUAUAACUCAAAAACCAAAGCAUUUAGAGCAAAUCUGACAGGGGUAAUAUUGUUCAUCAGGUCAAGAUCUAUCUGCCCUGAAAUUUUCAGAUGAAUCGGACAUUCCGUUGUUGGGUUGCUGCCCCUGAAAUUGUAAUUUUAAGGAAAUUUUGCUGUUUUUGGUUAUUAUCUUGAAUAUUAUUAUAGAUAGAGAUACACUUUAAACAGCAAUAAUGUUCAGCAAAGUAAGAUGUACAAAUAAGUCAACAUGACCAAAAUGGUCAGUUGACCACUUUAGGAGUUAUUGCCCUUUAUAGUCAAUUUUUAACCAUUUUUCGUAAAUCUUAGUAAUCUUUUAGAAAAAUCUUCUCCUCUGAAACUACUUGGCCAAAUUUAACCAAACUUAGCCAUAAUCAUCAUUGGGGUAUGUAGUUAAAAAAAUGUGUCAAGUAACUCGACCAACAAACCAAGAUGGCCGCCAUGGCUAAAAAUAGAACAUGGGGUAAAAUGCAGUUUUUGGCUUAUAACUCAAAAACCAAAGCAUUAAGAGCAAAUCUGACAGGAAGUAAAAUUGUUGAUCAGGACACGAUCUAUCUGCCCUGGAAUUUUCAGAUGAAUCGGAUAAUCGGUUGUUAGGUUGCUGCCCCUGAAUUGGUAAUUUUGAGGAAAUUUUGCAUUUUGCUGUUUUUUUGUUAUUAUCUUGAAUAUUAUUAUAGAUAGAGAUAAACUGUAAACAGCAAUAAUGUACAGCAAAGUAAGAACUAAAAAUAAGUCAGUAUGACCAAAAUAAUCAAUUGACUCCCUAAGGAGUUAUUACCCUUCAUAGUCAAUUUUUAACAAUUUUCUUAAAAUUUGAAGAUUUUCAAUAACAUUUUCCACAGAAAGUACUGUUAUAGAUAGAGAUAAUUGUAAGCAGCAACAAUGUUUAGUAAAGUAAGAUCUACAAACACAUCACCAUCACCAAAACACAAUUUUGUCAUGAAUCCAUUUGUGUCCAUUGUUUAAUAUUCACAUAGACCAAGGUGAGCGACACAGGCUCUUUAGAGCCUCUAGUUUCAU